GGACGAAAAACCCGAAAGACGGAAUCACGUAACUUAAAGGCUAAGUAGACUUAAGGGCUAAGUUAACUUAACACUUAAGUCAUGAAUAGUAAGGAGGUGUGAAUAGUAUGGAGGUUAGGGGUGAAAUGACUAUUUUGCCCUAGCUUUGGAAAAUCUAUAAAUAGGAAGCUAGAUUUCAUUUAAAUGGGAUUUGGAAAAUCCUACACUAGAGAGAGAGAGAGAGAUAGGAUUCGGAUGGAGAGAGAGAAGGAAGAGCAUGAACAUGAUUGAUCGGAUCAAAAAUGUUUGUGAAAUAGAAAAGCUAGCAAAUCACCGGUUUUGGCUAGCGGAAGAAAAAUAAAGAGGAAAGGUAUUAAAACCUAACUUAUAUGUUAGAUUUUCUUUUAGUUUUAUAUAUUUUAAACAUAACUUAAUGAGAAUAAGAAGUAGAUAAUGUUAGGGAUGAUUUCAUAUGGUUGAAAUCAUCAGAAAUAAGAAAAAUAAGAAUUUGAAGUUUAGUAAAUAAAUUUCUUAAGGAAGUAUAAGAUUCGUAAUGAAUUAGAACGAUUUGAGUUGAUUAUAUCAAUAAGUAGAUGAAAUAAGUAAGGAAUAAUGAUCUAUAACAUCAAAUUCCAAUAAAAAGUGAAAUCGUAAUCCAAAAUAUUGAUUAAAAUGAAGAACGAAUGAAGAACACGAAGAACAUGCGAAGAACACGAAGAACGUUAUUGAUGGAAAAAUUUAAAACCAUCGUAGGAUAUUUGUUGUUGAUGGACAAGUUUAAAACCAUCAUAGGAUAUUUGUUGUUGAUGGACAAGUUUAAAAACAUCGCGUAUAAGUUAGAUGCAUAUUGCUUGGUUAGGAAUGGUAGAAACGUUCAUGAAGAACGGAUUAAAAACUUAGUUAUAACGAAGUUAUGACGAAAAUUUCGUAAAAGACAAACGAGAAUUAGAAAGUUAGUAAAUGAAGCCGAACUUAUAGGGUUUCAUAAGAAUGUAAGAGAACAUAGAAACUGUGAGUCGUCGACUCAAGAACAAACGAAUUCCAAGUUCAGAUGACUGAAUUACGGACGAACAAACAAAGAGCGUUAAAAACGUAAAAUAAACGAAGGGUGAAGAUUAAGCAAAUGGAAUGGCAUGUUAACGGAUUCAGAACGAUGUUCUAUCUGGGGGUAUUGAAGUACGUAAGAUAAAGAAGAGAAUGGCUUUGGAAUAACCUCGUUCUAAGUUAUAACGAAGGAGUUGUGAGAUCGGGAAGUAGCGUCUCAAAAUGAAGUUAACACUUAGAAGAAAUUUUCAAGAAUUAGGGCUUGGCACCGCGGCACCAACCAUGCCUUAUAAGGUGGCAUUGCAGCGCCAGAACAGAGAGCCGGGUACUGCAAACUCGUGCCGCGUCGCGAGAGAUAGAAGGGAUAGUGGCACCGCAGUGCCAGUGUAGGGAAAAAGCCAGAGAAGAGCUUUUAACUGCUCAACUAUUGGGGGAAACGUACGGGAAGAUAAAGAACAUAAUGUUCAACUAAUGUAACACUUACACAAGUAAGUUAAACCUUAAAUGAAGGUUGAACGGAAAGAUUAAAUGAGAGUAAAAGACAAAUAAUGUAGACGCGGGUUACGUAACCGAUGUUCGGGGACCGUAGUCGCAAUGAACGAACGUGAGGGAUUGCUAUGGUUGUGAUUCCUUAGACGUUGCGUGACGAGGGUAAUGAAUAACAUUUUGAUGUUAUGUCAUGAUAGUGAGAGAUAAGUGUAAAGCGUAUAAACGCUGUAAACACAACGCAGUUGCGAUAAACGAUCGGUCGUAGCAUACAAUGAACAAUAUGAUUUCGACAUUAAGAAAGAACAAUGAACAUGGGGUUCAUGGGAUGGAUAACGAUCAAAGGCGAUUAAAACCUUGAGUAAAGGUUGAAUGAGAGAUUAAAAGACGAGCAACGUGAAUGUUGAAUACGUAAACGAUCCUCGUGAGUCGUAUUCGCGUUGGACGAACAUUCUAAGUAUACCCUGGUUGUAUGACCUAGACGUUGACAAAGGUAGUAAGUAACACAUGAAUUAUCGAGAAAGCCGUAAUGAACGAUAAUAAGAGUAAUGAAAGCCGAAGGUGAGUCGUAUAAGAAUGAAUCCUGAGGGGUGGCAUUUAGUUGCCAGGAAGCCAUAAGGAAUGAGAAAUUAACUUAACGAAGAUUAUAGUUUAAAUAGUUUGGAUAAGUUAAGAUAAGUUAAGUUGUAGUACAAUCAUAACCUUUGAUGGUUGACAUAUGGGAGCUGGGCUAAACAAUUCCUUCAGAGAGCGAAGGUAUAUACAAAACUGGCAACCGGUCUAACUCACUGUUAUGGGCAGUGUAGACGAGACGGGAACUUGUUUGUUGGUUGUUUAUUGGAAACCACUCAGAGUACCAUAUGGACUACUAGCAGAGAAACGAUGUGUGCUGAGUCUUAGAGAAGUAAUAAGAAGAAGAUAAGAUGUAAAACAUCAAAGAUGAUGAACAUAAAAGUAAGACAUCUCCGUAUGUCAUGAAACCGUAGAAUGGUAAUGAAAGUGGUCGCGUAAACUUAGGUUACAAGAACGCGAACCCUAAGAAGUAAAGUUAAGCAUACUAAUGCAUAAGUCAAAGAUGUAUGACUAAUUGGUGUAUGUGGUGUUUUCUUAUGUGUUAUAUAGGAAUUAAAAUGAGCAGUUCGGCGUAAGCUGUAGCUGGGCGUAAGGCAAGUUUCCUAACUUCAUUCAUAUUUCAAAUGAAUGCUAGUUUCUUAAACUUCUCAGAUGUUGAACUUGAGAAGUUCCGUCUAUGUGCUAAUGUGCGAUAAUUAUAUAAGGUGGUAGAACGUAUGAGGCCUUGAGCCACAAUGUGAACACUUCGGUGUUCCUAUGAAAUGAGCUGUUCUGUAAUUUAACUGUUCAAUAAGAGAAUGCUCUGUUUAUACAUGAUCCGUUAUUGUUAAGUCUGUGCUAAUGAUUCUAGCCAGACAGAAUUUGUAUGAAAAAGGUAGAAGAAUGAAAGUACUUUAAAAUGAAAGUGAAUAUUGUUUUAAAAUGAUAGGAAUCGAGAUUAUUCCUAUUAUUCAAGCUGCUUCAUAACCUUUGUUCGGUUAUUGAAGUCUUAAAAGAAUGUUUAAAUUCUUGAAGAUGUUUGUUCAACUGUGAUGACUUGCUGGGCAAUUGAAUGCUCACACUUGCUUUAAAUGAAAAAUAUUUUCAGCGAACGAUGUUAGAAAAACUUAAGGAUCCCGUAAAGAUCAAGCUGAC
Molecule: long non-coding RNA, 3216 nt
Filed under: Panax ginseng (ginseng)
Lineage: Eukaryota; Viridiplantae; Streptophyta; Magnoliopsida; Apiales; Araliaceae
Description: long non-coding RNA (PGIN_LNC000837)
Source: RNAcentral